UUAGGGGGCUCGUGUUUUUGUUUUUGGUCGUGUAAAAAAAAGUCCCAUUUACUUGUAGUUCUGUGAUGUGGGUGGUGGGUCUCCUUUUGGAUCUACGUGCUUUGUAUCAGAGUGGAGAUUUAUGUGCUUUGUAUCAGAGUGGAGAUUUAUGCGCAAACUCAGUUUCCAAACACAAAGAGACCUCUAGUUUGCGGUUGUUAAUUUCUAAAAGGAGUCAGUUAACAUUGUUUGAUUGACAAAGGAAGUUAAAUUCAAAAAGAUAACCAGUCCUAACCUCCAGUUAAAUUCCAUUUAUUUCUGGUCACAUUUUCUAUUCAUUCAGGUGUUCCUUAAAAAUCUAAUCUAAUAUUUCGUCAUGAGCAUCAUGGGACACUUAUUAAUAGCAGAGUUAAUACAGAAAGAUAGACUGUCGUAAGUAGGAUUUUCUUUGUCCACACCAUCUAAGUGGACUUAUCCUGGACAGUUCUGCCAACAACAAGAGUUCUACAGUUACUAUUAGUUAUAUUGUUGGUCUAGAAGCUUCGGUGCGCAAACUGAUGUGAAGCAAGGCAGCCGUGAUCUCCAUUCUUCUGAAACUCAGGCCUAUUAUUGUUGUCUUCAAACCGUUGGGUUGAGGGGGGGCAUUAUUAAGACAUGGGUCGACAUUUGGGUAAACUUCAUAUCUGGCAGAAGUGGCAGAGACAUUGAUGAGGGAGGGAACUGAUUGGCAUUAAUUGUUAAGGUGGUAGUGGUUUUGAUUAGUCAUAUAUACAUGCUUACCUGAUUAGUCUUCGUGGUCCCGGCGAUGGUCGUGAUGUCAAGGAUGCUAUGUCGACGCUUCUGCCUCUCGUUCGACUGGCGACUGAAGUACUUCUGUGCAUGGCUAGCGACUUGGGUUGGUGUCCUCGUGCGCACAAAGUUUUUCGCUAUAUGCUUCCAGGCUCCUCUCCCAUGAACUUCUAGGCCCAUCAAGAAUAGCCUGGAAGAGAGGAAAACGCAUUUUCGGAAUAAUGAUGCUGAGAGAACACGUACAAGUGGAUUGGGAAAGGAAAUAAGAAAGCCUACUGAUAUUUUGACAAAUAAAAAAUUCUGCAUGAGACAUGCUGAAUUUUCCAAUCACGAUAAUCUAUGCAAGAUUCACAAUGCGAGACCAGCCGAGCAAAACGUGCGAGUCCAAGCUGAUGCUGAAACUGUGAGCGGCUAAGCCUCGUCUCAUGAAGAAGAUUCACGUUACAGAUUUGAGGUGCUGAUUGGUUCACCCACUGUUCUUCAAUUCUAGGGCUCUUGUUUUGGUGUAAAAGUUCAGUUUGGCUGUCGCGUUCGCUUUACAUUUGAGCAGCUGUAGUCUCUUGCUUUCCGUUCUGAAACGAAGGUGGACCCAGUGGGAUUUAAUGUCUUCCGUCUAAGUGGACGCAUCCUGGGACACUUCGGUGAUGACAAGAGUUCUGCCAGUUAUAUUGUUGGUCUAGGCUUCUGUAUCCGACCUGAUGUCGGGCAGAGGCGGCAAAGGCAUAGAUGACGGACUGGACCGCUUGGCAUUGUUAAGGUUGACCUGGCUACUGCUCUUGAUUGAGUCAUACAUGC
Molecule: long non-coding RNA, 1563 nt
Organism: Asparagus officinalis (garden asparagus)
Lineage: Eukaryota; Viridiplantae; Streptophyta; Magnoliopsida; Asparagales; Asparagaceae
Exons: 4
Source: RefSeq, a predicted model, not a curated record